Molecule: long non-coding RNA, 373 nt
Filed under: Bos taurus (domestic cattle)
Lineage: Eukaryota; Metazoa; Chordata; Mammalia; Artiodactyla; Bovidae
Description: long non-coding RNA NONBTAT011592
Source: RNAcentral
UUCUGGAGUAUUAAAAUAGUAUGAUGAGUAAAACUAUUUUUCUCUAAGUUUGUUUUGUUUCAUAAAAUAUCUAGAUACCACUCUUUGUGGCAGAUUCCCAAGAGGAUCAAGGCUGUGAAUAUUUUGCCUACGAACUAGGGUCCAGCAAAUAAGAAGCACUGAAUAGUUAUCUAAUAGAUGACAUUAUAAUUUUGUUUUGAUUAAUCUAGCAAAAAUUGACUAAGCUGGUAAAGACCAGAGCUGACAGCUGUGAAUAUGAGUCUGUAAAUAGCUAAAAUUUUUUCUAAGUAGCAGGUCAGCUUAUACGUACUACCAACUGACUCCUGAAGCCAAUGAGGGCUCCCUAUUCUGACUUUAAAUUUUUUGAACCAUA